This 1130-nucleotide ribosomal RNA is filed under the name human gut metagenome. RNAcentral's name for it is "bacterial LSU rRNA". It matches the Rfam family "Bacterial large subunit ribosomal RNA", at positions 1156 to 2287 of the family's 2925-position model. The record is from RNAcentral.
GCACUGCGCCGAAGAUGUACCGGGGCUAAAGCAUAAUACCGAAACUGCGGAUUACUUUGUAAUGGUAGGGGAGCGUUCUAAGUGCGCUGAAGGUUGAUCGUAAGGACAGCUGGAGCGCUUAGAAGUGAGAAUGCCGGUAUGAGUAGCGCAAGACGUGUGAGAAUCACGUCCACCGUUUGCCCAAGGUUUCCUGGGUCAAGUUCGUCUUCCCAGGGUUAGUCGGGUCCUAAGGCGAGGCCGAAAGGCGUAGUCGAUGGACAACAGGUUGAUAUUCCUGUACCACCUAUAUGACUGAUGGAGUGACGAAGGAGGCUAACAAGUGCCUGUUAUUGGAUUCAGGUCUAAGCACAAAGGCUUAUAUGUAGGGAAAUCCGCAUAUUGGUAGGCUGAAGUGUGAUGGCGAAGAAAGUAGCAAUACAAUCGAAGACUUGUGACGCCAAACUUCCAAGAAAAGCUUCUAGGGUUAAUCGUAUAGGUGCCCGUACCGAGAACCGCCACAGGUGGGCAAGGAGAGUAUCCUAAGGUGAGCGAGAGAACUAUGGUUAAGGAACUCGGCAAAAUAACCCCGUAACUUAGGGAUAAGGGGUGGUCUAGCGAUAGACCCGCAGUAAAGACGUCCAGGCAACUGUUUACCAAAAACACAGGUCUCUGCAAAGCCGUAAGGCGAAGUAUAGGGGCUGACACCUGCCCAGUGCUGGAAGGUUAAUAGGAGAGGUUAGUAUUUGACUUUGUCAACAUGAUACGAAGCUUUGAAUUGAAGCCCCAGUGAACGGCGGCCGUAACUAUAACGGUCCUAAGGUAGCGAAAUUCCUUGUCAGGUAAGUUCUGACCCGCACGAAAGGUGUAAUGAUCUGGAUACUGUCUCAACCAUAGGCUCGGUGAAAUUUUAAUACCUGUGAAAAUGCAGGUUACCCGCGACAGGACGGAAAGACCCCAUGGAGCUUUACUGUAGCUUGAUAUUGAAAUUUGAUAUUCUUUGUAGAGGAUAGGUGGUAGACUUUGAUACUAGGACGCCAGUUCUAGUGGAGUCGCCCUUGGAAUACCACCCUUGGAAUAUUAGAUUUCUAACCUAGGACCGUGAUCCGGUUCGGGGACAGUGUCUGGUGGGCAGUUUGACUGGGGCGGUCGCC